Long non-coding RNA from Psammomys obesus (fat sand rat), 6636 nucleotides. RefSeq lists it as uncharacterized. The transcript is spliced from 3 exons. The record is from RefSeq and is a predicted model, not a curated record. NCBI's taxonomy places the organism in Eukaryota, Metazoa, Chordata, Mammalia, Rodentia, Muridae.
GGGCUAGCAAACCCGCGCCACACCAAAGCCCCGCGCCGCGCCGCGCCGCGCUCUGCUACUCGAGAAGCCGCGGCCUCGGGCUUGAGGCCACCCAGACUAGACCCCUCCCACCUACUGCCCCACGCUUUGUAGUGGCAGGAUCAUUAAGUCCUGUUUUUUUCUGAAGAGAAAACAGGUCGCAGUCUUUUAGGAAGGCCUCGCUUUGAUGGCGUCCCCGCCCCCGCGCGUCGCGCAGCCAAGCGGGCGGCGCGGCGCCUAAUUGCCCCACGCCACGCAAGGUCAGCGGGGCUGGAGCGGCUGGCCAGGGCGGGGCAUCCCUUUAGGAUCUUGCUGACUCCGCGCGGACAGCCAGGGUUUCCCAGGCGCCCCCUCCCCGUGCAGGAUGCGCUCCAUCAGGUGCUGCCGCUCCCUAGCCCCCUCCAGUGCUGAAACUGUCUCCAGAGACCUUUGCCUUUGGCUCUGACGUAGUAGCUCGGCAUCUUCAUCACCACCCAAGUAAACAACAGUGGCUGAGUAAACAAGCUGGGUGAUUACGUUUGCUAACGCAACCUCAAACCGGCCGCCUCCCGGCCACGCAGAUAUACAAUUGACAGCCGCUUCAGCUGCUUCUGCCCCUAGGUCCGCCUCAUGUGUUUCCAGCCUAGGAGCCAAAGACUGAAAAUUCUCGGCGUCAGAAGACGCAGCUCUCACCUGAGGCCCAGAACCACACUGACAGAAUUUCAUUCAUUCGUUGACAAGUUUCUGCGGUGUCUUCACCUCCCACCAAUGUUGCCCACCUGCGUUUCCAUGGCUGCGGAAAACCAGCAUCCCCAGUUUAAGGCUAACAUCCUCAAAAAGCUCCCGUCUCCUGGCCUAACCCAAGCGUCAGGAAUGGGGUCAGGAUGUAGCUCCCAGCUACUUCUCCAGUACCAUACCUCCUGCCACCAUGUUCCUUGAGCCAUGAUGAUAAUGGAAUAAGCCUCUGAAACUGUAAACAAGAGACUCGGAAGAUCUGGGCCAGAGCCACAGACCAAGAAGGGACUUCUUGGAUCAGCAGCAGCUGCUGCAGGGAGAGAUGAGAGUGUUAAAGGACCGUGCUCAGGCCCUGGAUUGUACUCAGCUGCUUGAGGAGAAGUCAGUGCUUCUGACAGCUCUGGGGUGUUCUCUGACCAGUAGAGUGUGCAAGCUAGGCUGGGAUGGGUCCCCUAUUCUCACAGAGUGAGAUGCCCCAUUGCCAAGAUCUUGGCCACCCUCUGUCACUGGUUAGUAAGUAUGAUCAGAAAUCCAACCCUGAGUCACAUGGCCAGGGUCCAACUCCCUUUCCUGUGUAUCUGUGUUCAUGUUGGUCACAUCCUGUCUCUUUUAUGGGGCACUUGGGGAAAAUUUUAGCCUUAUCUCAGUUGGGCAUGAUGGCAUACUCCUGUAAUCCUAGCACUUAGACGGUAGAGGCAGGGAUUCAAGGGUCAGGGAUUCAAGGUUAUCCAGAACCACACAAUGAGUUUGAAGCCAGCAUAGACUACAGGAGAGAGACCUUGUAUCAAAUAACUGAGGAGGGGGGAGUUCUAUCUCCACUACUCAUGGCACCCAGAGGCAGGGGAGCAGGGUUAGAUAAUAUGAAGAUUGCUGUUCAACUCUAGAUGUGUGGGAACUAAAGCCCCAGGACAGAGGGCUUCUGGGUGUGCAGGAAAACACGAAGGAAGGAGACCUUACUGUCCAGCUAACGAGACAGUGAGUACAUCUGUCUUUGAAACGAUAAAGGCCCCACACAGAGUCCAGAGUGCCUCAUUUGCCAGCACACCUCAGUUUCUGGGAGGUACCAUCUUCCCUCAGGAGGGAGCUGGGCAAGCAGGAGCCAGCUCCCAGGUUGCAUCAUGAGGAGGGAGCUGACUACUGGAGGGCAUGCUGGCGCCGGGUGGCAGUUGCUCUGAUACAUAUAUGGCUCUACUUCAGGGACUCCAGAGGCAGAGCAGGGUCUGGCCCUCCCAGGUAGGUGCCCUCUCCACCUUCCUUUGCUCUCCAUUCUCUUCUCAACUGCGACUAGGCUCUCCCCCAAGCUUUACCCUAUGCCUCCUUCCCUCUCUUUGCCUGCCCUUCAUCGUGAUCCCAGCUAUUCAGCACGCAUUUGUUAAGCAUCUUCUACACACCUGGGCCCCUCUAUUGUGCAGAACCCAUGUCAGAGCAGCCUGCUCCAUGUCCCCAAAAGGGUAUGGAUUGAGGGUAUACAGGCCAAGAAACAAGCGAUUACAAUUUAGUGAAUUCAACCAGGGGCUGGACAAUAGAUAGAAAGGGCCUCUCCAAAGAACGGGAUUCUGAACCUCUGAGCCUCCCUGAAAGGUGAGCGGGCAUUUUCCCAGAGGAAAACUGAAAUACAUGGCACUUCAGGAAGAGCAAGCAACAGGUACAAAGGCCCAGAGAAGAGCAGGAUGUGUGGGAGCUUGUGAAUGAUCCCUGACCCAGGCAGGGGCCUUGAACAAAUACCUGCUUUCUCAAGACAGGGAAUUGAGGACAAAGUAAGGAUAGCACCCAAAGUAAGGAUAGUGAAAGCAUUGAGUUUACUGGGGUUCCUUACGGGCAUAUGAAUGAGGGGCGCUUCUCAAGAGCAGGAACGACUCACAGGCAGCUGUGUCACUGGAAGCCCACCCCAGCCCUGGCGACAGCUCUUGAAAGCUGGAAACCUAGAGCUCAUUGUACAACUCAAAGGAAGCUCAACUGACAGUUUGGAGAAUGUCUCUUCUAAGCAGGGCUGCCAGUUUGAGGAUGGCACACAGCAGCCCUUACUGCUUAUAUAAACUUGGGGAGAGGGGCUCUAACACAUCUGUUUCAGGGACUUCCUGAGGCUUUUUGAGUUGUUUACUUCCUGAGUAACAAAUCUCCAUUUGCACUCCCUGAGACUUAAUGAAGGUUCCUCCAAGAUGAAAUGUUUUAUCUCCAGGGAAGUUGCUGCACAACAACUGGAGAGAUGGCUCAGGAGGGAACAGCACUUGAACAACCCUGGCAAAGUUCCAUCCCUGGAACCAAUGUUGAGGUGGGAGGAGAGAAUAGACUUCUAGCUUCCGUAGGUGCACAUCGAACACACAAAUAUAAAACAAUACCUGUCCGGAAUGACAAGUGGAGUUGGUGAGGGGGUUACUGUGGGAGGCGAGACAGGAACCAGAUCAAGGGUUCAGGUGCCUGAGGCCCUGACAUCCCCCAACCUCUAGUCCCAACUCAGUAGUUGCCUCCUCCUGGCAGCCUUUCCCCUUUGAUCUCCUGGGCAAAUGAGCAUUUUCCCGGCCGUGUGCACACACAGCAAGACACAGCUAUCACAGGGAGUCCCUGGGAUACAACACUGUGGGGGUAGGGAUGGGUUCCACAUAGAGUCGCAGGCCUCCGUCUACACUGACCUGUUGAUAUCGCUGGAAGAGAGGAGAGAGGUGGCUGGCUAAUCCCCGCUCUGAGCCUGUCAGGAGAGAGCCACAGGAUGUGGACUCCAGUUCACAGAUGCCUGCACAUGUGGUCUGUGGACCAUGGGCCAAGCUUACCAGGCAGAACUCAGCCAGGUAGUACAGCAGUUGGACAGGGGCUGGCUGUAGCCCAUGCUAGGCCAUGUGAUUGGCAAAGGCCCAGAGCUUAGGGACCCCAGUCCUCCAACAAGUUCUGCCUUCUUUUUUAUUUUAUUUUAUUUUUAUUAAUUACAGUUUAUUCACUUUGUAUCCCAGCUGUUGCCCCAUCCCCUCCCAAUCCCACCCUCCCUCCCUCUUCUUCUCCUAUGCCCCUAUGCCCCUCAAGUUCUGCCUUCUAAUUACAUUCCUGUCUUCAAGCUCCUUUUACCUGACCGCUCUCUGAAUCUCUACCUCAGGCUGUCCUUAAUCCCAGGUCCUUACUGUGUUUAAGGCAGAGAUGAGAAGUGUGAAUGCUGGUCUGAAAUCCUGGCUCCAUAUUACCUGUGUGACCUUGGGCAAGUCUCUGGUACCUACUUCUCUGGGCCAAAGCUGUAAAAAUGAGGACAACUGUCCUCGUUACAUGGUUACACAUGUAGCUAUUAGCUUAAAUGUUUCCUGGGGCUCUAAGAGUAGCCACACAAGAAAAGAAAGCUCCCUUUGAAAUCAGGAUUAUCUGGGGGUCCCAAGAGCUGCCAUGUGUGCGGGGUCCAUCCUUGCUCCCCCUAUUCUAGUUUGCUAGCUAGCCACAGCCAAGCACCUCAGCCCCAGGCUAAACCAGUUCUGCAGGCUGGAAUCUCAGUGGCAGAGCCUGAUGCAGGGUGGCUGCCGUGGGCUCUGAGCUGCAGGCUCUGCUGGAUUCUACAGCCUUUGCCAUUCCUGUAACCGGAGUCCCUGCCCUCACUUUCCUUUGCUCCCAGGCCAUAUCUGCAUCUGAAUUUACCUUUGCCCUUCUGUAAAGAUCACAGGCACGUGGGAUUAGGACCUAGUUCAAGAGCCUCCUUUUAACUUGAUUAUCAUCUCCAAAUAUGGUCAUAUUUUGAGGUGCAAGAGACUGCAAAAAAUUCUUUUUUAGGGGACACAGCUCACACAACACCCCCACCUUGCUUCCUGCUACUUUCUUGUUGGGUGGGUGGGUGUGACUUAGGAUCUCAGGAAACAGUUUCAUUUGUCUCCUCAUAUGACCCCAGGAGGAUCACAGCCACAAGAGGCUGCAGUGCUCAGAGGAGGAUGGUCGUGGGCACUGCUCCCUAUGCCUACCUCCUCCACAGAGAACCAUGAGGGCAUGUGAGCCUAGGCUGCAGAGUAGAGCUGUUUGCAGCGGGGUCCUGACCAAACCUCAAGGUGGAUAUGUGGGCCAGGAUGAGAAUGCAAUUUGUCCCUCCUAGGCCUUCCCUGGCAGGCAACAGGAAUAGGACACAGGGCCUGGGGGAAAAAAACAAUCAGAUGGAUAUUGAGACUUAGAGGAGCUUAGAGCAGCAGGUGAUGGCCCCACAUGAGAUCGGGCCCCUCAACAAGCCCUACCUGAGGACCCCAGAACUCUUGCAAAAAACAGUGGGAGGUACCGACAGUCACUGAGGCUCCUCAGCUCUUUUUCUGUAUAAGGGGUCUCAAACUCCCUGUCCAGGCACCUGUAGUUGCUGGGCAUUCAAAGCCAGGAGUAGAUAGGACUUCUGGGCUGCAGCAAUUUUCUGUUGCAAGAGUGGACUCCAAGCAUGGGCAGAUGUAUGGUGACUAUGUGUGUGGGGGCAGCGCCAAGAUUUGACUGCUACGCUACCAGAACCUAGUGUCAGCAGCUAAGAUGGAGAAUUGGUCCCCUGGUCAGUAUAGCCCAAGCUCACAGCCAAGGCUGGGGAUGUGAGAACCUGAACAAUUCAGCCAACCAGAAGGGAAGGCAGCCUAUCCUGUCUGGGUACCUGUGUGUCUCUUAGUCUCUUGGUGUCAGCCUCUGUUCAUCUGCUCCCAGGUUCCAAUCCUAGACCUGGAGGCCAGGAGGGCACCGAAGACAACUGAGAGCCAGGGGACAAGCCCAGGCACUGUUCAACUGGCCCUGAGCACUGCUGUCACAGCUGUGCUCUUGAAGCUCCAGAGACCCGGGUUAGCCCUGCCCACUUUCAGGGGGUAGGUGGACCUGCCGUAGGGAGCUGGGCUCCCAGGAGAGCAAGGGCUCCUUAGGGGAACAAGCUCUAUGACUAUAUGGUGUGGUAGGUAGCUACCAUCUUUGGCCCCUGUCUGCUACGGGGCCUAAAAUGCCUGCAUUGACUUAACUGUUGACUCUUUGUGGAGGCCAUGUGCGUAGCUCCUGUCCUGGUGGAUCUGUGGCUAGGAGACUUGGGAACAGACUGACCAGUUGGGGGUGCCAAGAUCCUCAUAAGGCUUUAUAUGCCCACUGGCAUAAGAAUGCUACCAGUGACCCUGUGUUCUGCUGGGGAAAUCCUUGAGCACCAGGUUUUGAAACUCAGUAAAGUUACUCUUUACAGAUGCCUCAUACAGCUCCAAAUCCCUGUUAUAGGAAGAAAGACUGCUAGGAGAGUGUGUAGCUUACCCCAGGACACACAGCUGCUAGGCCCUGGGCCUCCUGACCUGUCUCAGGUGUUUGCUCUCAGCUGGCUGGCAUGAGCAUCCUCAACCGCCGCAGGCAAGCCAGUUUGGGAUUUGCAUCUCCUCAGCCUAUCUGGCUGUGCUGGCUAGUUUGAUGUUAACAUGACACAAUGAAUAGUUAUCAGAAAGGAAGGAGCCUCAAUUGAGAAAAUGUCUUUGUGAGACUGGGCUGCAGGCAAGUGUGUAGGACACUUUUUAAAAAAUAGUGAUUGAUGGAAGAGUGGGCAGUCCAUUGUAGGUGGUGCCAGCCCUGGGCUGGUGGUCCUGGACUCUGUAAGAAAGCAGGCUGUGAGCAAGCCAUGAAGAACAAGCCAGUGGGCUCCACUCCUUCAAUGCCUCUGCAUCAGCUCCUGCCUCCAGGUUCCUGCCCUGUUUGAGUUUCUGUCCUGACUUCUUUCAAUGAAAAACAAUGAUGUGGAAGUGUAAGCAAAUAAACCCUUUCCUUCCCAACCUGCUUUUGGUUGUGGUGUUUCAUCAUCAGUAGUAACCCUAACUAAGAUUGGUGUGGCUUCUUUUUUUUUUUCCCCCUUUGUAGACCAGGCUAGCCUCAAACUCACAGCAAUCCACCUCCCUCUGCCUGCCUGAGUGCUGAGAUUACAGGCAUGCACCAUGGAGCCCAGCUCAGUGGGAUGUUCUU